This 2329-nucleotide long non-coding RNA is filed under the name Mytilus galloprovincialis (Mediterranean mussel). Lineage: Eukaryota; Metazoa; Mollusca; Bivalvia; Mytilida; Mytilidae. The record is from RNAcentral.
GUACAUUAAACUAUUCAGAGUUGAUUUAUAAUGAAAAUUAGAAUAUUCAAAGUUGUGAAAAUGAAAUUUCAUUCAUGGUUCAUGAAAGUGUUCAGUAAAUUGUAAUGAUUUCAUAUAAUUUGACAGUAUAUUUAUUGGUAUAUUCCCUGUUAUAUUAAUUUGGGAGAAAUCUUUGGUAUAGGGUUUAUGGAAUUGUGAAUUUACACUUCAAAAUUAACAAAUGAAUGAAAAUUGUGCAUAUUUUUGUGUUAAAAUUCAUGGUUUGACGACCCCAAAAUCCACUACAUGUUAAAAUUUGCAAUAAGGAGCCAUUGCUUAAAGAAAAGAAAGCAGCAUAUCAAAAGGCAUUAAAUGGUAUUGUUAAAAAGAUUCAUGGACUGUGUACAACAUUACAAUAGGUUAUUGGUCAUUUUUGUACUAAAAUGUACUGAUAUAAUUGUAUAAUUUCAAGUAUAAAUUUCCCACGUUCAAUCAAGGAGAGAUGUAUAGUAAAUAGGUUGUAAAUAUUUCCUUUUUACCACAUCUAUCUAUAUUUCCUAAUACUUUACUGGCUGCAUUGAGGCGUACAGAUCCCUUAAACCGAACACCUCUGCUGUAGGACUUUCAAACAGCCAAAUAGUUUUUCAUAUGUUCAGAACCUUCAGCUUGCGACUAUUACUAUUAACUUGACUACUGUGGAUUCAUCUAUUUUCGUGGAUAUCAAUUUUCGUGGAUUUCUGAAAACUUGUCUUUUCGUGGAUAUUUGAUUUCGUGGUUUUGCCAAAGUCUGCACACAUCCUAAUACAAAAUUUGAAAUUCGUUGAACAUUUUAAUUUGUGGUUCACCUGUACCCACGGAAACCACGAAAAUUGGUAUCCAACGAAUAAUAAUGAAUUCACAGUAUGCCAUGGCGAGAAGUAUUGUAGGAGUUUAAGUCAUGCUAUUAUCUUUUCUUAAACAUGUUUUAAAAUGGCAAACAACAUCAGAUAUCAAUUCAUGAGCUUUUUAGUGACUCUCCAAAGAUCUGUGGUUUACAGCGUGAAGUAGGUUUGGCUAUCACCAACAUGGUUUUCUUCAUCUGACCACAUUUCUCAGGCUUUUAAAAUUUUUCCUCUAGUCACUGGAUCUAAUGCUUAAAAGUGGGUACCCUCCUCUUGAAUCUGAAUUUUGCUCUCAAACUGAAGAAACUCUAGUACCUCACUCACUCCCACUAACUUGCUUCACCAAUAACCACCAUGGUUACCGGUAGUAAUACUAUACAAAGAAGAAUAUAUAAUUGAACCUUGUUAAGAAUCAUCUAUUGUAACUCAAUUUGUUUUAUAAUUGAUGUAAAAUGAUGACCGAUAAUAAUUGGAUUACUACUUAAUGAUUUUACUGAUUUUGUAAGGACUUUUAAUGUUUUUUAGAUAACUGAUGUGAUUACUUAAAUAUAUUGAAUUUUGUGUCAUUUACGUAAUUAUUGUUUGACAGGGUUGAUUAAAAGUUAUAUAAUUGGUGAGAUGGAAUCAAGGUUUAGGUAGUAAUUUCUUUCCUGUCACAUCAACAUAUCAUUACAACAGAUUCCCAGCUACUAUAUGUAGUCAAAAGAUAUUUUUAAACCUGAUACAUAUUACAGUGACUUGACUGUUAGUGUUGCUAUUCACCAAUUGUGGCCAAAUUGCAAUUUGUUUUAUAAAUCAAAUUGUUCAACUGGUCAGAAAUUUGAACUAACUGCUGUAGAAAACCACAUUCAAGUAGGGAAAGUGCAAGGUGAUAAAAUAAAACAUACUUACAUUCCUAUAAGACUUUACAGUGACUUGACUGUAAGUGUUGCUAUCCACCAAUUGCAAUUCAAAAUAAUGACAGUUCCUUCAUCAUGGAAAUGACUAUAAUAUACCUAUACAAACUGAUAGACUCAUUAUGUCACAACAUCAUUCAAGUGGAGUUAAAGUCUUUAUAGGAUUGUAAGUAUGUUUUAUUUUAUCACUUUGCACUUUCACAUUUUGACUGAAAAUUUGUUCAAUUUUGACAGUGAACAAUUUGGUUUAAUAAAACAAAUUUCAAUUUGGUCAACAUUUUGAAUGAGUUGCAAUUGCUGGAUAGCAACACUAACAGUCAAGUCACUGUAAGUGUUAGAUAGGGGAAAAUCCAUGAAAAAAAGAAAAUUUCUCAGCACUAAAUAGAAACCCAACAGAAUACCUUGAAUAAUUCUCAUGUUUCAAUAAAUUCUGAUUGGACAUAAGAAAUAUAUCAUUUGAUUGAAAUAAUGAUUUACAACAUGAAUAUCAUUUGAUUGAAAUAAUGAUUUACAACAUGACAAUAUAUGUGAUUUAUUUGUGAUUAAGAAUAUUAUAGAUAUGUGUUGUUGUCU